Molecule: ribosomal RNA, 456 nt
Filed under: uncultured bacterium
Lineage: Bacteria
Description: bacterial SSU rRNA
Rfam family: Bacterial small subunit ribosomal RNA
Source: RNAcentral
UCCUACGGGAGGCAGCAGUAGGGAAUAUUGGUCAAUGGAUGGAAGUCUGAACCAGCCAUGCCGCGUGCAGGAAGAAGGCCUUCUGGGUUGUAAACUGCUUUUGCCAGGGGAUAAAAAACUCAUGCGUGAGAAAUUGAAGGUACCUGGUGAAUAAGCCACGGCUAACUACGUGCCAGCAGCCGCGGUAAUACGUAGGUGGCAAGCGUUGUCCGGAUUUAUUGGGUUUAAAGGGUGCGUAGGCGGCCUUGUAAGUCAGUGGUGAAAUAUCUCAGCUUAACUGAGAGGGUGCCAUUGAUACUGCAGGGCUUGAGUACAGAUGAGGUAGGCGGAAUUGACGGUGUAGCGGUGAAAUGCAUAGAUAUCGUCAAGAACUCCGAUAGCGAAGGCAGCUUACUAAGCUGUAACUGACGCUGAGGCACGAAAGUGUGGGGAUCAAACAGGAUUAGAUACCCCGGU